GUGGAAAAGACAAACCAGAAAUAUGUCUCAUAUUUGCAAAAGGAGUAUGUGCUAGUCUUAAAUGCCAAAUGUAAUUCAUAUCAGUGGUAACAACAUUAUCACAAAUGGAAUUAUUUACAAUUGGAAGCAAGCCAACAUUUUUGCUAUUAGACAUAGUGUCAUCAUUACAAAAAUCAGACAAAGCACACACAGAAGUAAAAGGAGAACCAGGAGAGGAAGAAGGGGAAGGAGGCACCCAAGACAGUUUGUAUAAGCCAGCUUCCUCUUUACCAAGAUCCAGAGGCCUCUUCGGAGAAGGGUCCUGUAUCAUGUGAAGCAAACAGGAAGUUGGAGUGAACAAAACUAUACAGUGCAACUGUUUUAUCAACUUGUGAACAGAAAUCAAGUUGUGUUUAAAUGAAGGAACCAGAAGCACAUUGUGAAGAGUAAGGGAAGAAGGAACAGACAAAUUAGGAUUUCCAUGAUUAACAUACACACAUUCCUCACCAGUGGAGAUAUGAGCAGCUGCAGAUUUUCUUCCCUUGUUGUAGUUUAUGUUUUGAGGAAACCCAUGGAUCUUGUAGCACUUAUCAAUUAAGUGCCCAGAUUUCUUGCAGUAUCUGCAAAAUAAGGGUCCUCUGCUUUGCUUAAUAUUAACUAUGGGUCUGAAAAUAGGGGGUCUAGGCACUGUGGCCUGAUUAAACCCAGCUGAGUGCUUGUUUGCAUGAGCAUUAAAAGACAUAGAGUCUGGACUGAUUUGAGAAAUGGAUUGAACUUGUCUUUGUUUCUCAUCAUUAAGCACUAUGUUGUAAACACUGUCAACUCUGGGUCUGAAAAUAGGGGGUCUAGGCAUUGUGGCCUAAUUAAACCCAGCUGAGUGCUUGUUUGCAUGAGCAUUAAAAGACAUAGAGUCUGGACUGAUUUGAGAAAUGGAUUGAACUUGUCUCUGUUUCUCAUCAUUAAGCACUAUAUCGUAAACACUGUCAAGGGAAGGAAAUGGGUGCAUCAUCAACAGAUUACUCCUAACCCCCAUGUAUGCUUCAUUUAACCUCAUAAGAAACUGGAAUACCUUGUUUUCAUCAUUUUCCUCAAUUAUUCCAUUUUUAGCAGCACACACACAUCUCUGCCCAUGUUUGUGCACAUUGUGCCCAAUUCAACCCACAAGCCUUUGAGCUUGUUAAAGUAUGAGGCUACGUCUAAGCAGCCUUGAGAUGUGUGGGGUGCCCAAUUCAUCCCACAAGCGUUUGAGCUUGUUAAAGUAUGAGGCUACAUCUAAGGAGCCUUGAGAUGUGUGGGAAAGUUCCCUUUUUAAUUCAAAAUUUUGGGUCUUGUUAGGGGUACCAUAUCUUCUCUCAAUUUGGGACCAUAUACUCUGUGCAGUAUCGGAAUAUUGCACACUAUCAGCAAUCUGAGGAGACAAGGAGGAGGUCAACAAGGAAAUGACCAUUUUAUUACAUCUAUCCCACAGUCUCUGUUGAACCACAUUAGUGGUAGGUCGAGGACAUGAACCGUCAACAAAAUCGAUUUUGUUUUUAGCAGAUAAAGCAACAAUCAUCUUACGCCUCCAACCCCCAUGACCACAACCCGAGAAGGGAGUGGGAACAAGAGAGACCCUAGGGACAUCAGAGAAAUAUACAAAAAGGGGGCUAGUAGAGUCUACCAAGGAGGAGGAGGUACCAGCAUUCAUGUUAGAAGCCAUAAUCAAUAAACCGGCUUAAGAUAAAACAGUUUCAACAAGAAGAGUAUAACCAAGCCAGAUAUUCACACACAAAACCACAUACUCACAUACGGUGCCAGAUAAUCACACACAAAGCAUACAAUACUCAAGAUAAGGACAAAGUUACCCUCCUUCUUCGCGACCGGAGAAGAUCGGCCUUCAAUCAACAGAGAAAACCUAGGUACAAAACCCUAGGUGUAACCGUCGAAAUCUUUACUGGAAAUAUGGUCAGCGAUGUCGGAAAGUCACCCAAAACAUCCACUAAGUGAGGAUCGAGCCACCAGAUAGCAGUUAAACCCUAGGUUCAACCACCAGAAACCCUAGAAGCUGAUAAAUCAUCGAAAGAUCACCCAAAAAUUAUCGGAAAAUCUCCCACAACGUUCGAGUGAAGAAGAUAUAGUCAGAUAUCACGAUGAAAGUCUCAGAAAAACAUCCGAUUUAGAUCGGAAUCGUCAUCGACCACAUACGUCAGAAACACCCCCAAAAAUCUCAAAGGGAAAAAACAAUCGAUUUAGAUCGGAAUCAUCAUUGACCACAUUCGUCAAGAACACCCCCAAAAAUCUCAUAAGGAUACUUCAACCAAGACAACAAGAUGCAGAAAAACAUAAUCGGAUCAUCGUCUACGCUCUGAUACCAUGAAAACUUUGAGAUUAAACCGAAGAAUCACGGAAAAUAUAGUGAGAGAAUCUAGAGAGAAGGAGGAGCAGUUGAGAGAAGUUUCAGGAAGACAGAGAGUUUAUUAAUCAGAAAAGAGAGUAAAAU
Molecule: long non-coding RNA, 2458 nt
Filed under: Nicotiana benthamiana
Lineage: Eukaryota; Viridiplantae; Streptophyta; Magnoliopsida; Solanales; Solanaceae
Description: long non-coding RNA (NBEN_LNC011348)
Source: RNAcentral